UUAUUUAAAGAGCUAAGAGCUAAUUUGAAAAUACAUCUUUGAAAGGACAACAAAAAUGAGAUGUGAAAAAAAUGGAUGAAGAUUCUUAAUUAGUCCAUUAUUUGACACGCACGAUUUAACAUGUGUUCUUGUCUUGUUCGCUGAUUCUGACUGUGCCCCAGCCUCCUUGAUUUGAAGACCAUGGAUAACUUCAUUCUCAGUGGUGAUUCUGUUCCUUCUCAGUGCAUUUGGUUUGAUCAGCCUUCCCCUGACACUGCAUCAGUGACUUUUCAGGUCUCAAUUCCUACCCAUUUAAACAUAACUCUUAAGGAAGCAUUGACAGCAUCUUACCUUAUUUUUGUUCCUGUCUGCUGGACAUAUUUCUGCCUGGAUGCCCUGCUUACCCAGCCUGGCACUAAGGCAAAACCUAAGUAGCCCUUCCUGUUCUCAUCUGUCUUGAACUCCUUGAGGUUAGUGCAGAUGGAGGCAAGAUCAGGAGUUCGUGAUCACAGAGACACCAGCAGCAUCAACCCACAAUCUUGGGCCUCUGGAAUGUCAGUGACAAACUAGGUUCCAAGUAUAUAUAGGCAACACAAAGAGAGAACCAUUCUCUGCUUUCAAUAGGACAGAAGAGCUCCUUGGCACUGGAUGCCUCCGGGUCUGGUUGAGAGAGGAAUGGUUAGGAGACUGUUCUGAGGAUACGCAGACAUCAUCCAAAGCUUCCUACAUUCAGAUGAGGACAGAGGUUGGGCCAGAGCUUUGUAAGCUUGUUACCUAAGGAUGGUUCUGACCAUGUAAGCAGAUCACAGAAG
Molecule: long non-coding RNA, 791 nt
Organism: Homo sapiens (human)
Lineage: Eukaryota; Metazoa; Chordata; Mammalia; Primates; Hominidae
Gene: PROX1-AS1
Product: PROX1 antisense RNA 1
Source: Ensembl